Molecule: long non-coding RNA, 489 nt
Filed under: Homo sapiens (human)
Lineage: Eukaryota; Metazoa; Chordata; Mammalia; Primates; Hominidae
Description: HSALNT0167715
Source: RNAcentral
UCUCAUGUUACCAUGUAUCAGAUGUGUGGGCUCAGAUCCCUGCUCAGGAACCCACUGUGGGCCAAUCAACAGCUUCCCAAAACGAGUCAGGGAGUUCCAGAAGCUCCCAUUCCGGUGCCAGCUGAGAAUCCAUUUGGAUAAUAACGGAGUAAAAACUCUGGUUUGGAGAAAGUUUCUGUAAUGUUUUUCUUUUUCCUUUUUGGUGGAAGGGAGAAUAAAGGAGGAUAUUGCCUGGUAAGCAUGCAAAGAAAAAAAGUCACGCCAAUUUCACUAGAAUUGCCCAGAACCUCAACUCUGGUGAACUGCAGGUGACAACACUUCACACUGUUUACAUGAUUGGGGCUUCCCUGGAAACUGCGCUGACCCUGAGAUGAUUGAACAUUUAGAGUAAAACCCUUGAUGUAGUUCAUAAAAUUGGAUUCAAAUGAAAAGUUUAAUGUGGAGUCAUUCAAAAAUAACACUAAGAGCUCUUCCCUGAAUUCAAAAGAA